Molecule: ribosomal RNA, 253 nt
Filed under: uncultured bacterium
Lineage: Bacteria
Description: partial 16S ribosomal RNA
Rfam family: Bacterial small subunit ribosomal RNA
Source: RNAcentral
UACGAAGGGGGCUAGCGUUGCUCGGAAUUACUGGGCGUAAAGGGCGCGUAGGCGGAUAGUUUAGUUGGGGGUGAAAGCCCGGGGCUCAACCUCGGAACUGCCUUCAAUACUGGCUAUCUUGAGUACGGGAGAGGUGUGUGGAACUCCGAGUGUAGAGGUGAAAUUCGUAGAUAUUCGGAAGAACACCAGUGGCGAAGGCGACACACUGGCCCGUUACUGACGCUGAGGCGCGAAAGCGUGGGGAGCAAACAGG